UAGCAUAUCAAUAAGCGGAGGAAAAGAAACCAACAGGGAUUGCCCUAGUAACGGCGAGUGAAGCGGCAACAGCUCAAAUUUGAAAUCUGGCUCUUUCAGAGUCCGAGUUGUAAUUUGCAGAGGGCGCUUUGGCUUUGGCAGCGGUCCAAGUUCCUUGGAACAGGACGUCACAGAGGGUGAGAAUCCCGUACGUGGUCGCUAGCUAUUGCCGUGUAAAGCCCCUUCGACGAGUCGAGUUGUUUGGGAAUGCAGCUCUAAAUGGGAGGUAAAUUUCUUCUAAAGCUAAAUAUUGGCCAGAGACCGAUAGCGCACAAGUAGAGUGAUCGAAAGAUGAAAAGCACUUUGGAAAGAGAGUCAAACAGCACGUGAAAUUGUUGAAAGGGAAGCGCUUGCAGCCAGACUUGCUUGCAGUUGCUCAUCCGGGCUUUUGCCCGGUGCACUCUUCUGUAGGCAGGCCAGCAUCAGUUUGGGCGGUGGGAUAAAGGUCUCUGUCACGUACCUCUCUUCGGGGAGGCCUUAUAGGGGAGACGACAUACCACCAGCCUAGACUGAGGUCCGCGCAUCUGCUAGGAUGCUGGCGUAAUGGCUGUAAGCGGCCCGUCUUGAAACACGGACCAAGGAGUCUAACAUCUAUGCGAGUGUUUGGGUGUCAAGCCCGAGCGCGUAAUGAAAGUGAACGGAGGUGGGAACCCGCAAGGGUGCACCAUCGACCGAUCCUGAAGUUUACGGAAGGAUUUGAGUAAGAGCAUGGCUGUUGGGACCCGAAAGAUGGUGAACUAUGCUUGAAUAGGGUGAAGCCAGAGGAAACUCUGGUGGAGGCUCGCAGCGGUUCUGACGUGCAAAUCGAUCGUCAAAUUUGGGCAUAGGGGCGAAAGACUAAUCGAACUAUCUAGUAGCUGGUUCCUG
Molecule: ribosomal RNA, 906 nt
Filed under: Bipolaris mediocris
Lineage: Eukaryota; Fungi; Ascomycota; Dothideomycetes; Pleosporales; Pleosporaceae
Description: LSU rRNA
Rfam family: Eukaryotic large subunit ribosomal RNA
Source: RNAcentral